AGGACCUUGGUGCAGGACAUUUGCUUACCUUCCCAGGGCUGGUCCCUGGUCCUCACCACCCAGGAGAGCUGCCUGCUGCUGUCACUGCCUCAUCGGGUACACCUGCACUGGACCUCCAGCUGGCACAAGUGGGAACAGAUUCACCAUCAGCCGGAGCAGGACCCCAAGACCUCCAAAGGCCAUUUCCAAAGCCAAGACCAGAGGAUGCUGGGACUUCCGGGUUUGAGCCCAAGCAGUCAGCAGACAACUUUUGCGACCCCAGAAGACAUGGGCGCUCCCCCCACCAGUACGCCAGCAGCUGCAUGAGCAGCAGGCCAGCUGCACUUCCUGGAAUUGCUGAAUGCUGACACUGUCCACCCAGAGGAGCAACAGAGCCCGAGGGUUGAAAUCCUGCCCCAAGCCUCAAAAUAAAAAAUAGAAAGGGCUGGGGAUGUAGUUCAGUGGCAGAAUACCCCCAUGUUUGAUCCCCAGUACAGACA
Molecule: long non-coding RNA, 479 nt
Filed under: Heterocephalus glaber (naked mole-rat)
Lineage: Eukaryota; Metazoa; Chordata; Mammalia; Rodentia; Bathyergidae
Description: lncRNA (ENSHGLG00000035238.1)
Source: RNAcentral